This 686-nucleotide ribosomal RNA is filed under the name uncultured bacterium. Its description in RNAcentral is "bacterial SSU rRNA". It matches the Rfam family "Bacterial small subunit ribosomal RNA", at positions 145 to 817 of the family's 1533-position model. The record is from RNAcentral.
AACUUACCGAAAGGUGAGCUAAUGCCGGAUGAGUUAUAUAAGUGCAUGUUUAUAUAGGAAAAGUUGGGGAGACCUGACGCUGAAAGAUGGACUCGCGUCCCAUUAGCUAGUUGGUAGGGUAAUGGCCUACCAAGGCGACGAUGGGUAGUCGGCCUGAGAGGGUGGCCGGCCACACUGGGACUGAGACACGGCCCAGACUCCUACGGGAGGCAGCAGUGGGGAAUUUUGCGCAAUGCUCGUAAGAGUGACGCAGCGACGCCGCGUGAAUGACGAAGGCCUUCGGGUCGUAAAGUUCUUUCGACAGGGAAGAAAAUGCCUAUAAGUAACUGUGUAUGUAUUGACGGUACCUGUAUAAGCAGCCCCGGCUAACUCCGUGCCAGCAGCCGCGGUAAUACGGAGGGGGCGAGCGUUGUUCGGAGUGACUGGGCGUAAAGAGCACGUAGGCGGUGUUGUAAGUCAUUAGUCAAAGACUAGAGCUCAACUUUAGUAAGGCUAGUGAUACUAUAAUACUAGAGUAUCAGAGAGGAUUGCAGAAUUCCUGGUGUAGCGGUGAAAUGCGUAGAUAUCAGGAGGAAUACCGUUAGCGAAGGCGGCAAUCUGGCUGGAAACUGACGCUGAGGUGCGAAAGCGUGGGCAGCAAACAGGAUUAGAUACCCUGGUAGNCCACGCUGUAAACGAUGGANGCU